Molecule: ribosomal RNA, 1091 nt
Filed under: Salmonella enterica
Lineage: Bacteria; Pseudomonadati; Pseudomonadota; Gammaproteobacteria; Enterobacterales; Enterobacteriaceae
Also listed under: 1 other name
Description: partial 23S ribosomal RNA
Rfam family: Bacterial large subunit ribosomal RNA
Source: RNAcentral
UCGAGUCGGCCUGCGCGGAAGAUGUAACGGGGCUAAACCAUGCACCGAAGCUGCGGCAGCGAACGUAUCACUUAAAGCGAUUCAGCGGGUUACGAUUGACGGAGCGAAGCGACGUCAAAGCGUAUACAAAGUCGAGUCGGUUUAAGGAUACGUUCGUUGGGUAGGGGAGCGUUCUGUAAGCCUGUGAAGGUGUGUCGUGAGGCAUGCUGGAGGUAUCAGAAGUGCGAAUGCUGACAUAAGUAACGAUAAAGCGGGUGAAAAGCCCGCUCGCCGGAAGACCAAGGGUUCCUGUCCAACGUUAAUCGGGGCAGGGUGAGUCGACCCCUAAGGCGAGGCCGAAAGGCGUAGUCGAUGGGAAACGGGUUAAUAUUCCCGUACUUGGUGUUACUGCGAAGGGGGGACGGAGAAGGCUAUGUUGGCCGGGCGACGGUUGUCCCGGUUUAAGCGUGUAGGUGUGUGUUCCAGGUAAAUCCGGUUCACUUUAACACUGAGGCGUGACGACGAGGCACUACGGUGCUGAAGCAACAAAUGCCCUGCUUCCAGGAAAAGCCUCUAAGCAUCAGGUAACAUCAAAUCGUACCCCAAACCGACACAGGUGGUCAGGUAGAGAAUACCAAGGCGCUUGAGAGAACUCGGGUGAAGGAACUAGGCAAAAUGGUGCCGUAACUUCGGGAGAAGGCACGCUGACACGUAGGUGAAGUGAUUUACUCAUGGAGCUGAAGUCAGUCGAAGAUACCAGCUGGCUGCAACUGUUUAUUAAAAACACAGCACUGUGCAAACACGAAAGUGGACGUAUACGGUGUGACGCCUGCCCGGUGCCGGAAGGUUAAUUGAUGGGGUCAGCGCAAGCGAAGCUCCUGAUCGAAGCCCCGGUAAACGGCGGCCGUAACUAUAACGGUCCUAAGGUAGCGAAAUUCCUUGUCGGGUAAGUUCCGACCUGCACGAAUGGCGUAAUGAUGGCCAGGCUGUCUCCACCCGAGACUCAGUGAAAUUGAACUCGCUGUGAAGAUGCAGUGUACCCGCGGCAAGACGGAAAGACCCCGUGAACCUUUACUAUAGCUUGACACUGAACAUUGAGCCUUGAUGUGUAG